RNAcentral lists this ribosomal RNA (801 nucleotides) under Streptomyces recifensis. RNAcentral's name for it is "bacterial SSU rRNA". It matches the Rfam family "Bacterial small subunit ribosomal RNA", at positions 76 to 891 of the family's 1533-position model. Lineage: Bacteria; Bacillati; Actinomycetota; Actinomycetes; Kitasatosporales; Streptomycetaceae. The record is from RNAcentral.
CACUUCGGUGGGGAUUAGUGGCGAACGGGUGAGUAACACGUGGGCAAUCUGCCCUUCACUCUGGGACAAGCCCUGGAAACGGGGUCUAAUACCGGAUAACACUGCGGAUCGCAUGGUCUGCGGUUAAAAGCUCCGGCGGUGAAGGAUGAGCCCGCGGCCUAUCAGCUUGUUGGUGAGGUAAUGGCUCACCAAGGCGACGACGGGUAGCCGGCCUGAGAGGGCGACCGGCCACACUGGGACUGAGACACGGCCCAGACUCCUACGGGAGGCAGCAGUGGGGAAUAUUGCACAAUGGGCGAAAGCCUGAUGCAGCGACGCCGCGUGAGGGAUGACGGCCUUCGGGUUGUAAACCUCUUUCAGCAGGGAAGAAGCGAAAGUGACGGUACCUGCAGAAGAAGCGCCGGCUAACUACGUGCCAGCAGCCGCGGUAAUACGUAGGGCGCAAGCGUUGUCCGGAAUUAUUGGGCGUAAAGAGCUCGUAGGCGGCUUGUCACGUCGAUUGUGAAAGCCCGAGGCUUAACCUCGGGUCUGCAGUCGAUACGGGCUAGCUAGAGUGUGGUAGGGGAGAUCGGAAUUCCUGGUGUAGCGGUGAAAUGCGCAGAUAUCAGGAGGAACACCGGUGGCGAAGGCGGAUCUCUGGGCCAUUACUGACGCUGAGGAGCGAAAGCGUGGGGAGCGAACAGGAUUAGAUACCCUGGUAGUCCACGCCGUAAACGGUGGGAACUAGGUGUUGGCGACAUUCCACGUCGUCGGUGCCGCAGCUAACGCAUUAAGUUCCCCGCCUGGGGAGUACGGCCGCAA